UGGUAGCUUUUCUAUUAUAUUUUCCAUAUUUCAUUAUUACAGUUAUACAUAAAAACGCACAUUGAAGUUCUUACCUAUUAUAUUAAGUACCAAUUUCGUUCAAAGUCCUACCAAAACCUAGUAUUAGUCCUAUGACUAUUCAAAAAGCACUUAUCAAUUAUAUAUGAAUCGAUAGGAAUUACUUUUUUGCCGCUUUAUGAAUGAUUUGUUUAGUCU
Molecule: non-coding RNA, 216 nt
Organism: Schizosaccharomyces pombe (fission yeast)
Lineage: Eukaryota; Fungi; Ascomycota; Schizosaccharomycetes; Schizosaccharomycetales; Schizosaccharomycetaceae
Source: the annotation of a GenBank genome assembly